RNAcentral lists this small nucleolar RNA (205 nucleotides) under Sorex araneus (European shrew). RNAcentral describes it as "Small nucleolar RNA U3 (ENSSARG00000016852.1)". It matches the Rfam family "Small nucleolar RNA U3". Rfam says of the family: Small nucleolar RNAs (snoRNAs) are involved in the processing and modification of rRNA in the nucleolus. There are two main classes of snoRNAs: the box C/D class, and the box H/ACA class. Lineage: Eukaryota; Metazoa; Chordata; Mammalia; Eulipotyphla; Soricidae. The record is from RNAcentral.
AUUUCUAUAGUUCUCAGGGAUCAGUUCUAUAGCUCAGUACUAGAGAAGUUUUUCUGAUCAUGUAAAGCACCUGAAACCACGAGGAGCCAGAGUAUCCUCUCCUAAAUGUGGAUCUGGUUCUAGGUGUUUUUGCAACUGCUUUUCACCAUUGAUGAUCAUUCUCUUCUUUUGCAGGAGUGAAAGGGAGAGGAUGCAGUCUGAGUGU